GAAAGUAAGCAAGGGCAGACGGUGGAUGCCUUGGCUCUCGGAGGCGACGAAGGACGUGAUAAGCUGCGAAAAGCCCGGGGGAGGCGCAAAUAGCCGUUGAUCCCGGGAUAUCCGAAUGGGGCAACCCGGCAGGCUGAAGGCCUGUCAUCCCGUAAGGGAGGCGAACGUGGGGAACUGAAACAUCUAAGUACCCAUAGGAGGAGAAAAUAAACAAUGAUUCCGUAAGUAGUGGCGAGCGAACACGGAAGAGCCCAAACCCAUGUCGUCUAGGCGACACGGGGGUUGUAGGACCACGACGUGGCAAGAGGAUGGCAAGUGGAACGCCUUGGAAAGGGCGACCGUAGAGGGUGAUAGUCCCGUACACGACUGCCUGCCGAAGCCUAGUGGCAUCCUGAGUAGCGCGGGGCACGAGAAAUCUUGCGUGAAACAGCGGGGCCCAUCCCGUAAGGCUAAAUACUCCCGAGAGACCGAUAGCGAACCAGUACCGUGAGGGAAAGGUGAAAAGAACCCCGAGCAGGGGAGUGAAAUAGACCCUGAACCCGUCUGCCUACAAGCGGUCGGAGCGUUGUUAUGACGUGACGGCGUGCCUUUUGCAUAAUGAACCUACGAGUUACCUUCCCCGGCAAGGUUAAGUACCUAAGGUACGGAGCCGAAGCGAAAGCGAGUCUGAAGAGGGCGGCCAGUCGGGGGGGGUAGACGCGAAACCGAGUGAUCUACCCUUGGCCAGGUUGAAGGUUGGGUAACACCAACUGGAGGACCGGAUGGGUAAGCGUUGAAAAGCUUUCCAAUGAGCUGAGGGUAGGGGUGAAAGGCUAAUCAAACUCGGAGAUAGCUCGUACUCCCCGAAAUGCAUUUAGGUGCAGCCUCUUUAUAGUAUAUCGUGAGGUAGAGCGACUGAUUGGAUGCGAGGGCUUCACCGCCUAUCAAGUCCAGAUAAACUCCGAAUGCGCGAUAUAUAUUUACAGGGAGUGAGGGCGCGGGUGCUAAGGUCCGUGUCCGAGAGGAGAAGAAUCCAGACCACCGGCUAAGGCCCCCAAAUGAUCGUUGAGUUGAACUAACGAGGUCGGAUCGCAGAGACAGCUAGGAUGUUGGCUUGGAAGCAGCCAUUCAUUUAAAGAGUGCGUAACAGCUCACUAGUCGAGCGAUCUGGCGUGGAUAAUAAUCGGGCAUAAACGAUCUGCCGAAGCCGUGGAUGUCGUAAGACAUGGUAGGGGAGCAUUCCAUGCGGCGUCGAAGAUGAGGGAUGACCCUUGUUGGAGCGCAUGGAAAAGCAAAUGUAGGUAUGAGUAACGAUAAGGGGGGCGAGAAACCCCCCCGCCGAAAGACCAAGGUUUCCUGAUCAACGCUAAUCGGAUCAGGGUGAGUCGGGACCUAAGGCUAAGCCGAACGGCGACGCCGAUGGAAGAAUGGGUUAAUAUUCCCAUACUGCCUCAUGGAGUGACGUGGAGACGGAGAAGUGACAGUCCUGCCGGCUGACGGAAUAGCCGGUUGAAGGGUGUAGAUAUUGAUUCCCGUAGGCAAAUCCGCGGGGAGAGUCGAACCUGACAGUAUACCGAGUACUUGUACGAGGUAAUAUGGACGUAACCAUGCUCCCAAGAAAAUCCGCUAAACUUAUCCAUGCGGCACCCGUACCGUAAACGGACACACGUGGUCGGGUUGAGAAUACUGAGGCGCUCGAGUGACUCACGGUUAAGGAACUAGGCAAAUUGACCCUGUAACUUCGGGAUAAAGGGUCCUCGUCGUAAGGCGAGGCGCAGAGAAUAGGUCCAGGCAACUGUUUAACAAAAACACAUGGCUGUGCUAAAUGGAAACAUGACGUAUACAGCCUGACACCUGCCCGGUGCUGGAAGGUUAAGAGGAGAUGUCAUCGCAAGAGAAGCGUUGAAUUGAAGCCCCAGUAAACGGCGGCCGUAACUAUAACGGUCCUAAGGUAGCGAAAUUCCUUGUCGGGUAAGUUCCGACCUGCACGAAUGGUGUAAUGAUCUGGACACUGUCUCAACCGUGAGCUCGGUGAAAUUGUAGUAUCGGUGAAGAUGCCGAUUACCCGCGAUGGGACGAAAAGACCCCGUGAACCUUUACUAUAGCUUUACAUUGAAUUUGGGCAGACGAUGUGUAGGAUAGGCCGGAGGCUUUGAAGGGGGUACGCCAGUAUCCUUGGAGCCGCCGUUGAAAUACGGCCCUUCGGUUGUUUGAGUUCUAACUCCCGGAUGGGAGGACACUGUAUGGUGGGUAGUUUGACUGGGGUGGUCGCCUCCAAAAGCGUAACGGAGGCUUCUAAAGGUGCCCUCAGACCGAUUGGUAACCGGUCGCAGAGUGUAAUGGCAUAAGGGCGCUUGACUGGGAGAGAUACAACUCGAUCAGGUAGGAAACUAGAGCAUAGUGAUCCGGUGGUUCCGCAUGGAAGGGCCAUCGCUCAAAGGAUAAAAGGUACUCCGGGGAUAACAGGCUGAUCAUUCCCAAGAGCUCAUAUCGACGGAAUGGUUUGGCACCUCGAUGUCGGCUCGUCACAUCCUGGGGCUGGAGAAGGUCCCAAGGGUUGGGCUGUUCGCCCAUUAAAGUGGCACGCGAGCUGGGUUCAGAACGUCGUGAGACAGUUCGGUCUCUAUCUAUCGUGGGCGCAGGAGAUUUGAGGGGCUCUGACACUAGUACGAGAGGACCGUGUUGGACGUACCACUGGUUUACCGGUUGUCCCGCCAGGGGCACCGCCGGGUAUCUAAGUACGGAUCGGAUAAGUGCUGAAAGCAUCUAAGUACGAAGCCGGCCUCAAGAUUAGAUCUCCCUCAAGGGUGGUUAUAGACGAUGACCUUGAUAGGCCACAGGUGUAAGGGCGGCGACGUCCGAGCCGAGUGGUACUAAUAGCCCGGGACUUUCCUCAC
This 2876-nucleotide ribosomal RNA is filed under the name Parabacteroides distasonis CL09T03C24. RNAcentral's name for it is "bacterial LSU rRNA". It matches the Rfam family "Bacterial large subunit ribosomal RNA". Lineage: Bacteria; Pseudomonadati; Bacteroidota; Bacteroidia; Bacteroidales; Tannerellaceae. The record is from RNAcentral.